AAAGAUUUAGUAUAUGUUUUUUUGAGUAUUAUUUGUUGUCUGCAAAUAGGAUUUGAUCUUUU
Molecule: transfer RNA, 62 nt
Filed under: Onchocerca volvulus
Lineage: Eukaryota; Metazoa; Nematoda; Chromadorea; Rhabditida; Onchocercidae
Description: tRNA OVOC13535
Source: RNAcentral